This 236-nucleotide long non-coding RNA is filed under the name Panax ginseng (ginseng). Its description in RNAcentral is "long non-coding RNA (PGIN_LNC016692)". Lineage: Eukaryota; Viridiplantae; Streptophyta; Magnoliopsida; Apiales; Araliaceae. The record is from RNAcentral.
UUCUUCUCAGUCUCAGGAUCAAGACUUUGAUUUAACAACGAAAUAUUGUGAUUUCAAUUUCUAGUUUACUUCUUGAUCUAGCCAAAAUAAUUGGCAUCAAUCUGUCAAUAAUAAUUGAAUUUUCUUCUCGAACCUAUCAAGUUCUAACAAAUGUUCGUCUAGCCAGAAUAAUUGGCUAAGAUAUUUCUCAACAUAAUUCGACAAUAAACAUGAAUUAUCUGUACUGUCAAUACUAG